UGGGGAAUUUUGGACAAUGGGGGCAACCCUGAUCCAGCAAUGCCGCGUGUGUGAAGAAGGCCUUCGGGUUGUAAAGCACUUUUGUCCGGAAAGAAAACGCCGUGGUUAAUACCCGUGGCGGAUGACGGUACCGGAAGAAUAAGCACCGGCUAACUACGUGCCAGCAGCCGCGGUAAUACGUAGGGUGCAAGCGUUAAUCGGAAUUACUGGGCGUAAAGCGUGCGCAGGCGGUCCGCUAAGACAGAUGUGAAAUCCCCGGGCUUAACCUGGGAACUGCAUUUGUGACUGGCGGGCUAGAGUAUGGCAGAGGGGGGUAGAAUUCCACGUGUAGCAGUGAAAUGCGUAGAGAUGUGGAGGAAUACCGAUGGCGAAGGCAGCCCCCUGGGCCAAUACUGACGCUCAUGCACGAAAGCGUGGGGAGCAAACAGGAUUAGAUACCCUGGUAGUCCACGCCCUAAACGAUGUCAACUAGUUGUCGGGUCUUCAUUGACUUGGUACGUAGCUAACCGCGUGAAGUUGACCGCCUGGGGAGUACGGUCGCAAGAUUAAAACUUAAAUGAAUU
Molecule: ribosomal RNA, 563 nt
Filed under: uncultured bacterium
Lineage: Bacteria
Description: partial 16S ribosomal RNA
Rfam family: Bacterial small subunit ribosomal RNA
Source: RNAcentral